UUGAACGCUGGCGGCAUGCUUUACACAUGCAAGUCGAACGGUAACAGGCCUUCGGGUGCUGACGAGUGGCGAACGGGUGAGUAAUGCAUCGGAACGCACCCAGAGGUGGGGGAUAACGCAGCGAAAGCUGUGCUAAUACCGCAUGUGAUCUGAGGAUGAAAGCGGGGGACCGAGCAGCAAUGUUUGGCCUCGCGCCUUUGGAGCGGCCGAUGUCGGAUUAGCUAGUUGGUGGGGUAAAGGCCUACCAAGGCGACGAUCCGUAGCUGGUCUGAGAGGACGACCAGCCACACUGGGACUGAGACACGGCCCAGACUCCUACGGGAGGCAGCAGUGGGGAAUUUUGGACAAUGGGCGCAAGCCUGAUCCAGCAAUGCCGCGUGCGGGAAGAAGGCCUUCGGGUUGUAAACCGCUUUUGGCAGGAACGAAACGGUGUCCGCUAAUACCGGGCGCUAAUGACGGUACCUGCAGAAUAAGCACCGGCUAACUACGUG
RNAcentral lists this ribosomal RNA (491 nucleotides) under uncultured bacterium. RNAcentral describes it as "partial 16S ribosomal RNA". It matches the Rfam family "Bacterial small subunit ribosomal RNA", at positions 29 to 507 of the family's 1533-position model. The record is from RNAcentral.